RNAcentral lists this ribosomal RNA (492 nucleotides) under uncultured bacterium. Its description in RNAcentral is "partial 16S ribosomal RNA". It matches the Rfam family "Bacterial small subunit ribosomal RNA", at positions 29 to 507 of the family's 1533-position model. The record is from RNAcentral.
AGUGAACGCUGGCGGUAGGCCUAACACAUGCAAGUCGAACGGCAGCACAGUAAUAGCUUGCUCUUACGGGUGGCGAGUGGCGGACGGGUGAGGAAUACAUCGGAAUCUACUUUUUCGUGGGGGAUAACGUAGGGAAACUUACGCUAAUACCGCAUACGACCUACGGGUGAAAGCAUGGGAUCUUCGGACCUUGCGCGAUUGAAUGAGCCGAUGUCGGAUUAGCUAGUUGGCGGGGUAAAGGCCCACCAAGGCGACGAUCCGUAGCUGGUCUGAGAGGAUGAUCAGCCACACUGGAACUGAGACACGGUCCAGACUCCUACGGGAGGCAGCAGUGGGGAAUAUUGGACAAUGGGCGCAAGCCUGAUCCAGCCAUGCCGCGUGGGUGAAGAAGGCCUUCGGGUUGUAAAGCCCUUUUGUUGGGAAAGAAAAGCAGCAGGUUAAUACCCCGCUGUUCUGACGGUACCAAAAGAAUAAGCACCGGCUAACUUCGUG